This is a non-coding RNA of Acanthosepion pharaonis, 110 nucleotides long. Lineage: Eukaryota; Metazoa; Mollusca; Cephalopoda; Sepiida; Sepiidae. The record is from the annotation of a GenBank genome assembly.
CAACUAUAUCACUUUGAAACACUGGUUCCCGUACGAGCACCGAUGUUAAGCAAUGUCGAGUAUGGUCAGUAUCUAGAUGGGUGACCGCUUGGGAAUACCAGGUGCUGUAA